AUGCGUAACGUUAAAUUUUGCUUCUGUUCCUGGAAUGUCCGGGGUCUCGGCCAAUCGCAGAAAUGCUCCGAUGUUCUCUCGGAGCUUCUCACCAUUAAUCCUCACACCUGCUUUCUUCGGGAAACCAAGCUCAAUGACAUCGCCUGCCUUAAAUGUAAUAGCUUUCUCCCCCGGCACCUAGAUACUUCCUGCUUUCUACCCUCAACUGGCUCAGCAGGAGGAAUGCUCUCUGCCUUCUCCUCUGCCCACUUCACAUCUCUCACUUCCAACUCCGGUCUAUACACCCAAACCUCUACAGUAUCUUGUCUUGCCUCUCCCCAAAAUUUGACUGUCACAAACGUAUACGCCCCGACAGAUCACGGCCUAAAGCACUCCUUUCUUCAGGAGCUCGCUAAUUGCUCCCCGCCCCCCGGCUCUCCGUGGCUAAUCCUAGGUGAUUUUAACCUUCUUCGCCAUCCCUCUGAAAAGAACACACCAGGGUUUCGCCAGUGUGAGGCUGACCUGUUCAAUGACUUUUUCCACUCGUGCGCUCUCAUUGAGCUUCCCCUCCUGGAUCGUAGCUUCACCUGGUCUAGUAAGCGAGACAAGCCGACCCUUGAGAAGGCUGACAGGGUUUUUAUCAACACUGAUUGGGACCUUCUCUUCCCUAACACCACCUUGGCGUCCCUUACUCGCUUCGUCUCUGAUCAUGUCCCCAUUAUCAUUUCGGUCGACUCCGCUAUCCCCAGGUCCGCGCUUUUCAGGUCUGAAAACAGAUGGGCCCUAAGGCCAGCCUGCCGGCAUGUCAUCCAAUCUGCGUGGGACUCGGCCCAAUUGCGAUCAACUCACGCUCUCUCCCUGGUGGCUGCGUUUAAACGUUUGCGGUCAGAUUUAAAAACCUGGACCCGUCUCUCGAUGCCUAUUAAUACCAGGGAGAACAACUGUCGAUCUAUCAUCACCAUCCUGGAUAUUAUCGAAGAAUCAAGAUUCCUUUCCUUCCCUGAGCUCGCUCUCUGCCGCGUCGUCAUCAAAGUCCUUCAGCGCACCCUCCGUGAAAAAGCCCUUUUCUGGAUCCAGCUCGGGAAGAUUCGCACUACGAUUGAAGGUGAUGAAAAUUCGCGUUUCUUUCACGCCUCAGCCUCGGCUCGUCUCCGUAGGAACAAGAUUAGCAUGCUCAUCUCGAAUGGGACGGAAUUCUUUUCCCACGCUGACAAAUCAGAAAUUCUCUCUGACUACUACACAACCCUUCUUGGCUCUCCUUUCCAACCGUCGUGGGCCUUCAAUCUCACGGACCUGUACCCCGCGCCCCUCCCUCAGCUAAGAUGGCUU
RNAcentral lists this ribosomal RNA (1308 nucleotides) under Triticum aestivum (bread wheat). RNAcentral describes it as "partial small subunit ribosomal RNA". Lineage: Eukaryota; Viridiplantae; Streptophyta; Magnoliopsida; Poales; Poaceae. The record is from RNAcentral.